GCUUGUCUCAAAGAUUAAGCCAUGCAUGUCUAAGUGUAAAUAAGUCUAUACUGUGAAACUGCGAAUGGCUCAUUAAAUCAGUUAUCGUUUAUUUGAUGAUCUCUUACUACUUGGAUAACCGUAGUAAUUCUAGAGCUAAUACAUGCGUCAAUACCCUUCUGGGGUAGUAUUUAUUAGAUUGAAACCAACCGCUUCGGCGUGAUGUGGUGAUUCAUAAUAACUUGUCGAACCGCACGCCCUUGAGGCAGCGGUGAUUCAUUCAAAUUUCUGCCCUAUCAACUUUCGAUGGUAGGAUAGAGGCCUACCA
This 307-nucleotide ribosomal RNA is filed under the name uncultured fungus. Its description in RNAcentral is "partial small subunit ribosomal RNA". It matches the Rfam family "Eukaryotic small subunit ribosomal RNA", at positions 30 to 346 of the family's 1831-position model. Lineage: Eukaryota; Fungi. The record is from RNAcentral.